CAGCUAGUUGGCGAGGUAACGGCUCACCAAGGCAACGACGGGUAGCUGGUCUGAGAGGAUGGCCAGCCACAUUGGGACUGAGAUACGGCCCAGACUCCUACGGGAGGCAGCAGUGGGGAAUCUUGCGCAAUGGCCUAACGGCUGACGCAGCGACGCCGCGUGUGGGAUGAAGCUCCUCGGAGUGUAAACCACUGUUGCCCGGGACGAAUAGCUCGAUUAAUCGAGCCUGACGGUACCGGGUGAGGAAGCACCGGCUAACUCCGUGCCAGCAGCCGCGGUAAUACGGGGGGUGCGAGCGUUGUCCGGAAUCACUGGGCGUAAAGGGCGCGUAGGUGGUUUGAUAAGGGUGUGGUGAAAGUCCGGGGCUCAACCCCGGAUCUGCCGUGCCGACUGUCAAACUCGAGGGCUGUAGAGGCAGACGGAAUUCCGGGUGUAGCGGUGGAAUGCGUAGAGAUCCGGAGGAAGACCGGUGGCGAAGGCGGUCUGCUGGGCAGUUUCUGACACUGAUGCGCGACAGCGUGGGGAGCAAACAGGAUUAGAUACCCUGGUAGUCCACGCCGUAACGAUGGGUACUAGGUGCCUGGGGAGCGACCCUCUGGGUGCCGGCGCUAACGCAGGAAGUACCCCGCCUGGGGAGUACGACCGCAAG
This 649-nucleotide ribosomal RNA is filed under the name uncultured Gemmatimonadota bacterium. RNAcentral's name for it is "SSU rRNA". It matches the Rfam family "Bacterial small subunit ribosomal RNA", at positions 242 to 892 of the family's 1533-position model. The record is from RNAcentral. Lineage: Bacteria; Pseudomonadati; Gemmatimonadota.